Molecule: long non-coding RNA, 467 nt
Organism: Nyctereutes procyonoides (raccoon dog)
Lineage: Eukaryota; Metazoa; Chordata; Mammalia; Carnivora; Canidae
Exons: 3
Source: RefSeq, a predicted model, not a curated record
CUGAAACUACUGUUUUCCUGAAACCCUGAGAGCUCGAUGGACAGCUGGACCCCUCAGUGCCAAGUCCAGAGAAGCCACCCGGACCGAGCCCGCGGGGACAAGCCUCCGCCGACCGCGUGGACGGCUCAGAGAACCCAGCAGGACGUCUGGUGACACCGCCAGGGACGCUCUGGCCGCAAACCAGCAACACCCACCUGAUUGAAACCCCGUCGUCGGGGCGCCUGGGGCGCUGGGUCCUGGAGCUCCGCCCUCGGCUCAGAAAUGCCUCCCCAACUGCCUCAGUGCUGGUGCCUGGGAAGUCGUGACGCGGCCGCGUUCUUGGACAGAAAAGCUCGAUAUUACGGAGACUCAUUCUCCCACAAUUAACCUAUAAACUCGAUGUCACCAAAUCCAUGGAGGGAAUCCACAAGCGACACAGAGAAUCGGGGACCGAGACUCCAGAAGCAGCAGGAGACGUCACACAGUCU